GUCUUUUUGAUUUAUAUAUAAAGUCUGACCUGCCCACUGAAAAUUUUAAAUGGCUGCAGUAAUUUGACUGUACAAAGGUAGCAUAAUCAUUAGUUUUUUAAUUAAAAGCUUGUAUGAAAGGUUGGACGAAGUAAAAUCUGUCUCUUUUUAAUAUAAUUAGAAUUUAAUUUUUAAGUAAAAAAGCUUAAAUUUUUAUAAAAGACGAGAAGACCCUAUAGAGUUUAAUAAUUUUAAUAAAAUAUUUAAUUAAGAUUUAUUAAUUUUAUUUAAUUAAAAUUAUUUUAUUGGGGUAAUAAAAAGAUUAAAAAAAUUCUUUUUUUUUAAUACAUUAAUUUAUGAAUAUAUGAUCCAUUUGUAAUGAUUAAAAGAUUAAAUUACCUUAGGGAUAACAGCGUAAUUUUUUUAAAGAGUUCUUAUCGAUAAAAAAGUUUGCGACCUCGAUGUUGGAUUAAAGAUUAAUUUAGGUGUAGAAGUUUAAAUUUUUGGUCUGUUCGACCAUUAAAUCUUUACAUGAUCUGAGUUCAAACCGGUGUAAGCCAGGUUGGUUUCUAUCUUUAUUAAUUUUUUAUAUUUUAGUACGAAAGGACCAAAUAUAAAAUAUAUAAAUAUUUUUAUUUUGAAUAUUAUU
RNAcentral lists this ribosomal RNA (628 nucleotides) under Trechisibus antarcticus. Its description in RNAcentral is "partial 16S ribosomal RNA". The stretch from base 385 to 543 matches the Rfam family "Bacterial large subunit ribosomal RNA", at positions 2473 to 2632 of the family's 2925-position model. Lineage: Eukaryota; Metazoa; Arthropoda; Insecta; Coleoptera; Carabidae. The record is from RNAcentral.